RNAcentral lists this ribosomal RNA (468 nucleotides) under uncultured bacterium. Its description in RNAcentral is "partial 16S ribosomal RNA". It matches the Rfam family "Bacterial small subunit ribosomal RNA", at positions 28 to 507 of the family's 1533-position model. The record is from RNAcentral.
GACGAACGCUGGCGGUGUGCUUAACACAUGCAAGUCGAACGGAAAGGCCCUGCUUUUGUGGGGUGCUCGAGUGGCGAACGGGUGAGUAACACGUGAGUAACCUGCCCUUGACUUUGGGAUAACUUCAGGAAACUGGGGCUAAUACCGGAUAGGAGCUCCUGCUGCAUGGUGGGGGUUGGAACGUUUCGGCGGUUGGGGAUGGACUCGCGGCUUAUCAGCUUGUUGGUGGGGUAGUGGCUUACCAAGGCUUUGACGGGUAGCCGGCCUGAGAGGGUGACCGGCCACAUUGGGACUGAGAUACGGCCCAGACUCCUACGGGAGGCAGCAGUGGGGAAUAUUGCACAAUGGGCGGAAGCCUGAUGCAGCAACGCCGCGUGCGGGAUGACGGCCUUCGGGUUGUAAACCGCUUUCGCCUGUGACGAAGCGUGAGUGACGGUAAUGGGUAAAGAAGCACCGGCUAACUACGUG